Molecule: transfer RNA, 85 nt
Filed under: Actinomycetota bacterium
Lineage: Bacteria; Bacillati; Actinomycetota
Description: tRNA-Ser
Rfam family: tRNA
About the family: Transfer RNA (tRNA) molecules are approximately 80 nucleotides in length.
Source: RNAcentral
GGAACGAUGGCAGAGUGGCCAAAUGCAUCCGCCUUGAAAGCGGAAGCCUCGCAAGGGGCCGGGGGUUCAAAUCCCUCUCGUUCCG